This 144-nucleotide long non-coding RNA is filed under the name Mustela putorius furo (domestic ferret). RNAcentral describes it as "lncRNA (ENSMPUG00000029077.1)". The record is from RNAcentral. Lineage: Eukaryota; Metazoa; Chordata; Mammalia; Carnivora; Mustelidae.
GAUUUUCAAGACGCAUCUCAGCUGGUUGCUUCUCCUGUUUGAGGAACCAUCUGUCAAAGAGGCUGUCGCAACGACCCAGGAGGACCGGCAGUGUCCCUUUAGUGAAAACAAUCCAAUGGGACUCCGAAUUUGCCUGUUUAAGAA